AAGCUGGAUAUGAGUCAACAGUGUGCUCUUGUUGCCAAGAAGGCUAACGGCAUUUUGGGCUGUAUAAGUAGGGGCAUUGCCAGCAGAUCGAGGAACGUGAUCGUUCCCCUUUAUUCGACAUUGGUGAGGCCUCAUCUGGAAUACUGUGUCCAGUUUUGGGCCACACACUACAAGAAGGAUGUGGAAAAAUUGGAAAGAGUCCAGCGGAGGGCAACAAAAAUGAUUAGGGGUCUGGAGCACAUGACUUAUGAGGGGAGGCUGAGGGAACUGGGAUUGUUUAGUCUCCAGAAGAGAAGAAUGAGGGGGGAUUUGAUAGCAGCCUUCAACUACCUGAAGGGGGGUUCCAAAGAGGAUGGAGCUCGGCUGUUCUCAGUGGUGGCAGAUGACAGAACAAGGAGCAAUGGUCUCAAGUUGCAGUGGGGGAGGUCCAGGUUGGAUAUCAGGAAAAACUAUUUCACUAGGAGGGUGGUGAAACACUGGAAUGCGUUACCAAGGAAGGUGGUGGAGUCUCCUUCCUUGGAGGUUUUUAAGGCCCGGCUUGACAAAGCCCUGGCUGGGAUGAUUUAGCUGGGAAUUGGUCCUGCUUUGAGCAGGGGGUUGGACUAGAUGACCUCUUGAGGUCCCUUCCAACUCUGAUAUUCUAUGAUUCUAUGAUUCUAACAUCAGGGGGAGCGAACACAAAAAAAAGGCGCCACCCGACAUAUCAAAUUACUAAUUACAUACUUUUAAAUUAGUUAAAUUCGUUUUUUGUGACCAGGGGCUGCUAACAGGGAGUUUCGCAAGGGAGUUCUCCAGGUGAAGGAGGAGCAAAUACAGGACCCUUAGGAGUAAAAAGGAAACAUGAACUAUUAAGGAGAACAAAAAAGAGACCAAAACAACUACUACUUAUGCUGAUGACGCAGAUGCAUGAAUACUGAAAACAAUUAUAGUAAUUCAACUAUAGAGCACAGGAAUUGCCAUUCUGGAUCUCACCAGUAGUCCAUCUAGCCAGUAUUCUGUUAUAGACAGUGUCCAACACCAGAUGCUUCAGAGGAAGGUGCAAGAAACCCUUCAAUAGGCAGUUAUGGGAUAACUUGCCCUCAGAAUCUCCUUUUAACCCCCAAUAAUUAGAGAUUUGCUUGUGCCCUAAAGUAUGAGUGUUUAUUUUCCUUCCCAAAUUAUUGUUUAUUCUUUUAAUAUUUGCUGUAACAACUCUGAAUAUCCUUGUUAACCAUAUACAGGUCAACUUUUUUUUUUAAUCCUAAGGUCUUGGCCUCAGUGCUUAAAUGUGCUACAGAGUUCCACAGGUUAAUUGUGUUGUGUGAAGAAUAAUAUCCUCUCAUCAGUUUUGAGUUUGCCAUCUUUCAAUAGCUCUCAGUUUUUGUGUUAUGAGAGUGAAUGGAAGGUCCCUGUCUACCCUCUCUAGAGCAUUUUAUCAUGUCUCCUUAUUCAUCUCCUGGGAUAACCUCAUUCUUUUCAAUCAUGAGUAUUUCCAUGCCUCUAAUAAUUUGCACUGUCCAUCUCUGAACCCCCUCUUCUUAUGCUGUACCAUUUGUAGUUGGGAUGACUUGAAUUGAACACAGCAAUCUAGGUGAAGCAUAUAAUUGAUUUAUAUAAUGAUAUAAAAUAUUUAUCAUUUUUUGAAAAUUUUCCUCAGACAUCCUAGUGUUUUGACUGCUGCUGCACAUUAAGCAGAGAUGUUCACACUGAAGCUCAAAUGUUUUCCCUGAAUUAAUAGUUAAUUUAGAUCCUAGUAAGUUGUACAAGUAGUUCAGAUUAUUUCCUCCACUGUGCAUUACUUUGCAUUAGUCAGCUUUGCAUUUCAUGAGGCAUCAUGUUGUCAAUUUACCUUGUGUGAUUAAGUCCAUCUGAAGUUCUUCAGUUUUCUCCAGUGUUGACCACUCAAGUAAUUUUGUGUCAUCUGCAGAUUUUGCUACUUCAUUGCUUUACCAACUUUUCCAGAUAAUCAAUAAAUAUAUUAUACAACA
Molecule: long non-coding RNA, 1967 nt
Organism: Malaclemys terrapin pileata
Lineage: Eukaryota; Metazoa; Chordata; Testudines; Emydidae
Exons: 4
Source: RefSeq, a predicted model, not a curated record